GACGACCUCUGGUGGCCUGCAUUAACGCAUGUCUGUCAAACGGAAAGGUUUUUUCUGAGGUACUCCAAUGUCGAAAGGGUGAUUAACACUUGGGUGAUCUUGCCCUGCACUCUGUUGAUAAUCCUGGGAUACUGGCCUCUAAUACCUGAUAGGACCGCACUUUAUUGUGUGUGGUGGAAAGUUUUUUCGGUGAAUGAUGAGCCCCCCCCCUAUCAUCUUGUUGGUGGGGUAAUGGCCUACCAAAGCGGCCACGGGUAGCCGGACUGAAAGGUUGGUCGGCCACCUUGGGACUGAGAUACAGCCCACACUCCUACGGGAGGCAGUCAUGGGGAAUAUUGCACAAUGGGCGCUCGCCUGAUGCAAGGGACAACCACCUGUCGGAUGACGGCCUUCAGGAUGUAAACUCCUUUCACCGUUGACCAAGCUUUUUGUGACUGUACCUGAAGAACAAGCACCUGCUAACUACCUGCCACCUUCCUCUGAAAUACAUACGGUGCAACCGUUGCCCCGAAUUACUGGCUGUAUGCAGCUCGUAGGUGGUUUGUCACGUCGUGUGUGAAAUUCCACAGCUUAACUGUGGGAGCGCAUGCGAUACUGGCUGACUUGAGUACUGUAGGGGUAACUGGAAUUCCUGGCGUAGCGGUGAAAUGCCCAAAUAUCAGGAGGAACACCGAUGGCAAAGGCACGUUACUGGUCAGUUACUGACCCUAAGGAGCGAAAGCAUGGGUAGCAAACAGGAUUAGAUACCCUGGCAGUCCAUGCCGUAAACGGUGGGCGCUAGGUGUAGGGGCCUUUUGGGGUUUGUGUGCCGUAGCUCACGCAUUAAGCGCCCCGCCUGGGGAGUACGGCCGCAAGGCUAAAACUCAAAGGAAUUGACGGGGGCCCGCACAAGCGGCGGAGCAUGUGGAUUAAUUCGAUGCACCGCGAAGAACCUUACCUGGGCUUGACAUACUCCAGAUCGGUGCAGAGAUGUAGUUUCCCUUGUGGCUGGUGUACAGGUGGUGCAUGCCUGUCGUCAGCUUGUGUCGUGAGAUGUUGGGUUAAGUCCCGCAACGAGCGCAACCCUUGUCUUAUGUUGCCAGCACGUUAUGGUGGGGAUUCAUGAGAGACUGCCGGGGUUGACUCGGAGGAAGGUGGGGACGACGUCAAGUCAUCAUGCCCCUUAUGUCCCGGGCUUCACACUUGCUACACAUGGCCGGAACCAUGCGCAGCGAGCCUGUGAGGGUGAGCUAAUCGCUUAAAGCUGGUCUUAGUUCGGAUUGGGGUCUGCAACUUGACCCCAGCAAGUUGGUGUUGUUAGUAAUCGCAGAUCAGCAAUGAGGCGGUGAAUACGUUCCCGGCCUU
This 1344-nucleotide ribosomal RNA is filed under the name uncultured bacterium. Its description in RNAcentral is "bacterial SSU rRNA". It matches the Rfam family "Bacterial small subunit ribosomal RNA", at positions 28 to 1382 of the family's 1533-position model. The record is from RNAcentral.